GACGUAGGGGGCGAGCGUUGCCCGGAUUCACUGGGCGUAAAGCGCGUGUAGGCGGUCUGUUAAGUCGGAUGUGAAAGCUCCGGGCUCAACCCGGAAAUUGCAUCCGAUACUGGCAGACUUGAGGACGGUAGAGGUCGGCGGAAUACCAGGUGUACCGGUGAAAUGGGCAGAUAUCUGGUGGAACACCAGUGGCGAAGGCGGCCGACUGGGCCGAUCCUGACGCUGAGACGCGAAAGCCAGGGUAGCGAACCGG
Molecule: ribosomal RNA, 253 nt
Filed under: uncultured bacterium
Lineage: Bacteria
Description: partial 16S ribosomal RNA
Rfam family: Bacterial small subunit ribosomal RNA
Source: RNAcentral